AUGCGUCUUCCAGCUCAAGCCUUUCCGUCUACAGUUUAUUCCUUCUCGCGACCGUCAUGGCUGACGCAGCACGCCGCCUCUUCCACUACCGGAUCAUCAACAUACUCUACCUCAAUUCAUCAUUUCAAACUUCAUAUUGAAGGGUUUUUUGUAUCAACUCCUUCUAUCUCUACCGCAAUCGAAGUACCUACAAGUAAAUUUGGUGUAUUUCUUGUCUGUAAUGGGAGUAAUCGCCCUUACCAAUGUAAAAUAAGAGCAUGUGUCUUUGCCCAUUCACAAGAACUCGCUUGUUCUGGUAUCUGUCGCCUCUCCUCUUUCUCACCAGGAUUGAUGCCACAUCGACAAUUAUCAUCUCCUUUUCGAGUGUGUGCCGAAACUGAGUUUCUACCAUGGAAGCUCUUACUGGACACCACACUGAUGUGA
RNAcentral lists this ribosomal RNA (423 nucleotides) under Triticum aestivum (bread wheat). RNAcentral describes it as "partial small subunit ribosomal RNA". The record is from RNAcentral. Lineage: Eukaryota; Viridiplantae; Streptophyta; Magnoliopsida; Poales; Poaceae.